This is a long non-coding RNA of Pistacia vera, 404 nucleotides long. RefSeq lists it as uncharacterized. The record is from RefSeq and is a predicted model, not a curated record. The transcript is spliced from 3 exons. Lineage: Eukaryota; Viridiplantae; Streptophyta; Magnoliopsida; Sapindales; Anacardiaceae.
UCGCCGUCAUUCAUCCUCGUCGACUCGUCAUCUCCUUAGCUUCUCCUUCCUCUUCAGGAGCAUGGAAAAGGUGAGCGUUGUGGUUAGGUUUGAUGGAACAUGGACAACUUCAGCUGAUGGGCGUUAUGCUUAUGAUGGUGGUCCGCACGACUGGAAUGAGAGUUGUGAAGGGGAUCGCAUACAAACGUUUUGUGGAAGACCAUUAAUGAAAAUUUUAUUUAAUUGAUUCUGCUGAUAAUUUUGGUGACAAUACAAGAGAAAGUCUCCGUAGAAGACUUGAAAAGUUGUUGGUUGUGAGAUCCGUCCACCCAAAUCAGUUUUGCAGAAAUAUAAGUAAAAUGAAUGAAUUGGACAAAAAACUCAAAUCAUUGCAGAAACAAACUGCAAAGGAUGAAAAUUCACUG